This 376-nucleotide ribosomal RNA is filed under the name uncultured bacterium. RNAcentral's name for it is "bacterial SSU rRNA". It matches the Rfam family "Bacterial small subunit ribosomal RNA", at positions 521 to 896 of the family's 1533-position model. The record is from RNAcentral.
UAAUACGGGGGGAGCAAGCGUUGUCCGGAAUUACUGGGCGUAAAGAGCGCGUAGGCGGAUCUGUAAGUCAGGAGUGAAAUUUGUCGGCUCAACCGGCAAACUGCUUUUGAUACUGCAGGUCUCGAGUAAGACAGAGGAAAGUGGAAUUCCUGGUGUAGCGGUGAAAUGUGUAGAUAUCAGGAAGAACACCAGUAGCGAAGGCGGCUUUCUGGGUCUUUACUGACGCUGAGGCGCGAAAGCGUGGGUAGCAAACAGGAUUAGAUACCCUGGUAGUCCACGCCCUAAACGAUGAACACUAGGUGUUGAAGGAUCGACCCCUUCGGUGCCGAAGCUAACGCAUUAAGUGUUCCGCCUGGGGAGUACGAUCGCAAGGUUG